This 301-nucleotide ribosomal RNA is filed under the name uncultured Sphingomonadales bacterium. RNAcentral describes it as "bacterial SSU rRNA". It matches the Rfam family "Bacterial small subunit ribosomal RNA", at positions 508 to 808 of the family's 1533-position model. The record is from RNAcentral. Lineage: Bacteria; Pseudomonadati; Pseudomonadota; Alphaproteobacteria; Sphingomonadales.
CCAGCAGCCGCGGUAAUACGGAGGGGGCUAGCGUUGUUCGGAAUUACUGGGCGUAAAGCGUACGUAGGCGGCUUUGUAAGUUAGAGGUGAAAGCCUGGUGCUCAACACCAGAACUGCCUUUAAGACUGCAUCGCUUGAACGUCGGAGAGGUGAGUGGAAUUCCGAGUGUAGAGGUGAAAUUCGUAGAUAUUCGGAAGAACACCAGUGGCGAAGGCGGCUCACUGGACGACUGUUGACGCUGAGGUACGAAAGCGUGGGGAGCAAACAGGAUUAGAUACCCUGGUAGUCAAGGGCGAAUUCG